Molecule: ribosomal RNA, 423 nt
Filed under: Triticum aestivum (bread wheat)
Lineage: Eukaryota; Viridiplantae; Streptophyta; Magnoliopsida; Poales; Poaceae
Description: partial small subunit ribosomal RNA
Source: RNAcentral
GAGCCCAUGAACACUCCGAUAGUGGUACGCACCCCUGCGGGUCAGUGUCGAACUACCAUGAUUGGUCGCGACGUUCCUGUUGAAAUUGAAGGGUUGGAAUUCCUUGUUUCUCCCAUUAUUCUGGAGUCUUCCAAUAUUGACCUCAUUCUGGGAAUGGAAUGGUUGAAAGCGCAUACUACCUCUAUCGUUUGCGCUACCAAGGUCGUUCACCUCCUACAUCCUUCAGAUGAGAUUGUAACCUACCAUGCUCAGCUUGUUCAAAACGCUGAAGCACGACUUUAUGCUUUGAAUGCGUUGAACGCGGCACCUCUUGAGGGAAUUGAAAAGAUUCCAGUCGUUCGCAACUUCCAAGACGUAUUUCCAGAAGAACUUCCAGGAAUACCCCCUGCCCGGGCUGUCGAGUUCGUCAUCGACUUGAAACCA